UGGGUUGUGGCUCAGUGGUAGAGCGCAAGCAUGUGUGAGGCACUGGGUUCGAUUCUCAGCACCUUAU
RNAcentral lists this transfer RNA (67 nucleotides) under Marmota monax (woodchuck). It matches the Rfam family "tRNA". From Rfam's summary of the family: Transfer RNA (tRNA) molecules are approximately 80 nucleotides in length. Their secondary structure includes four short double-helical elements and three loops (D, anti-codon, and T loops). Further hydrogen bonds mediate the characteristic L-shaped molecular structure. tRNAs have two regions of fundamental functional importance: the anti-codon, which is responsible for specific mRNA codon recognition, and the 3' end, to which the tRNAs corresponding amino acid is attached (by aminoacyl-tRNA synthetases). tRNAs cope with the degeneracy of the genetic code in two manners: having more than one tRNA (with a specific anti-codon) for a particular amino acid; and 'wobble' base-pairing, i.e. permitting non-standard base-pairing at the 3rd anti-codon position. Lineage: Eukaryota; Metazoa; Chordata; Mammalia; Rodentia; Sciuridae. The record is from Rfam by way of RNAcentral.